AACGUACGCUGGCGGCACGCCUAACACAUGCAAGUCGAGCGAGGUAGCAAUACCUAGCGGCAGACGGGUGCGUAACAUGUGGGAAUCUGCCUUUUGGUUCGGAACAACACGGGGAAACCUGUGCUAAUACCGGAUAAGUCCUUACGGAGAAAGUUUUAAUGCCAAAAGAUGAGCCCGCAUUUGAUUAGCUAGUUGGUGAGGUAAAAGCUCACCAAGGCGAUAAUCAAUAGCUGAUUUGAGAGGAUGAUCAGCCACACUGGGACUGAGAUACGGCCCAGACUCCUACGGGAGGCAGCAGUGGGGAAUCUUGCACAAUGGGCGAAAGCCUGAUGCAGCGAUGCCGCGUGAGUGAAGAAGGCCUUUGGGUUGUAAAGCUCUUUUGUCGGGAAAGAUAAUGGCUGUACCCGAAGAAUAAGGUCCGGCUAACUUCGUGCCAGCAGCCGCGGUAAUACGAAGGGACCUAGCGUAGUUCGGAAUUACUGGGCGUAAAGAGUAUGUAGGCGGCUAGAUAAGUUAAUUGUGAAAGCCCAAAGCUUAACUUUGGAAUUGCAAUUAAAACUAUUUAGCUGGAGUAUGAUAGAGGAAAGCGGAGUACAUAGUGUAGAGGUGAAAUUCGUAGAUAUUAUGUAGAACACCAGUUGCGAAGGCGGCUUUCUGGAUCAUUACUGACGCUGAGAUACGAAAGUAUGGGUAGCGAAGAGGAUUAGAUACCCUCGUAGUCCAUACCAUAAACGAUGAUUAUUAGAUGUGGGGAAUUAUUUCUCUGUAUCAUAGCUAACGCGUUAAAUAAUCCGCCUGGGGAGUACGACCGCAAGGUUAAAACUCAAAUGAAUUGACGGGGACCCGCACAAGCGGUGGAGCAUGUGGUUUAAUUCGAAGCAACGCGCAGAACCUUACCAACCCUUGACAUGUUCGUCGCGAGACUAAGAAAUUAGUCUCU
This 940-nucleotide ribosomal RNA is filed under the name uncultured bacterium. RNAcentral's name for it is "bacterial SSU rRNA". It matches the Rfam family "Bacterial small subunit ribosomal RNA", at positions 28 to 1015 of the family's 1533-position model. The record is from RNAcentral.